AUUGAACGCUGGCGGCAGGCCUAACACAUGCAAGUCGAGCGGAUGAAGGGAGCUUGCUCCUGGAUUCAGCGGCGGACGGGUGAGUAAUGCCUAGGAAUCUGCCUGGUAGUGGGGGAUAACGUCCGGAAACGGGCGCUAAUACCGCAUACGUCCUGAGGGUGAAAGUGGGGGAUCUUCGGACCUCACGCUAUCAGAUGAGCCUAGGUCGGAUUAGCUAGUUGGUGGGGUAAAGGCCUACCAAGGCGACGAUCCGUAACUGGUCUGAGAGGAUGAUCAGUCACACUGGAACUGAGACACGGUCCAGACUCCUACGGGAGGCAGCAGUGGGGAAUAUUGGGCAAUGGGCGAAAGCCUGAUCCAGCCAUGCCGCGUGUGUGAAGAAGGUCUUCGGAUUGUAAAGCACUUUAAGUUGGGAGGAAGGGCAGUAAGUUAAAACCUUGCUGUUUUGACGGUACCAACAGAAUAAGCACCGGCUAACUACGUG
This 484-nucleotide ribosomal RNA is filed under the name uncultured bacterium. Its description in RNAcentral is "partial 16S ribosomal RNA". It matches the Rfam family "Bacterial small subunit ribosomal RNA", at positions 30 to 507 of the family's 1533-position model. The record is from RNAcentral.